Molecule: unclassified non-coding RNA, 288 nt
Filed under: uncultured fungus
Lineage: Eukaryota; Fungi
Description: partial contains 5.8S rRNA, ITS2 and 28S rRNA
Rfam family: Eukaryotic large subunit ribosomal RNA
Source: RNAcentral
AAGGGGUCCAACACAUAUGCGAGUGUUUGAGUGGCAAACUCGAGCGCGUAAUGAAAGUAAAUGUAGGUGGGAUUCGUAAGAUGCACCAUCGACCGGUCUGGAUUCUUUUGAAAGAUCUGAGUAAGAGCAUAUUUGUUGGGACCCGAAAGAUGGUGAACUAUGACUGGCCAGGUUGAAGUCAGGGGAAACCCUGAUGGAGGACCGUAGCGAUUCUGACGUGCAAAUCGAUCGUCGGAGCUGGGUAUAGGGGCGAAAGACUAAUCGAACCAUCUAGUAGCUGGUUCCUGU